CCUAUAGUAGUUUUCCAUCAUCACAUCUCUAUAAGGGCUCCUUUGAUCAGGUGCCAGAAAAUCCUACUCCUUCUAAGUAAAUUUCACAGCCACAGCUUCAAAGGCCAUUAACUCCAUUUCCUGGAUCAAGAUUCUGAGGCUUUCUUUGGGCAUCAGCCAUACCGUCCAAGAGGGAAGAGGGAAAAAGGUGGAACUGCAGCCACAUGGAGCAAUCUGGAAUCAAAUGGGAGAAGUUUGUGCCAUGCAGGCUGGUGGAACAACUGGGAUUUUACUUUACAAUGGGUUAUGGCUGAGACACUUCUAACACAAGACAGAUUAACAAGAGAGAAGCAUACGUAUUCAUGUAAUAUAAGUUUUAUGUGACAUGGAGGACUUCACGAGGAAAGAAAGACUCCAAGAAACAGAAGUGUUUUGGAAAAACAUUGCAAAUAGAGUAAACAGUUAAGUGUGAUGGAGACAUUUGGAAAGUGAAGAAUCUUGGAAUUGAGGGAGGGAAUAUGCGGAUCACGAUUAGACAAAGCCAAAGGUCCUCCUAUCUUGAUGAUCCCAGUGGAAGCCCAGAAGCUUAGACCUCUCUUUUUGACUUCCAUGUGAGUGAUCUAAUCCAGAUGGAAAUUUUUUCAUAGACACUGUAAAGCACUCCAUAUGUGAAGCAAACAAAAGAAAGUGAUAGAUAAUGAACUAUAUGAAAGCUGAAUUACCCAUUAAGAGGUUAUGCUGAGGUCUGAUAAUGAAUUAACUUAACAUAGUGUGAAUGCUGCAGAUAAUACUAAACAAACAAACAACAUCUUUCUUCCUCUGCUUGCCUUUUUGAGGGUCACUGAAAUUAUGAAUGUCUUUACCAGUUGGCGAGAGAUAUAACUUUUUAUUUAUUAUUUCAGUUGAAUAAUACCUUUAGUUGUUCUUUGUAACCCCUUCUUUGUGUGUUAUAUAGCCUCUUGGCGGCAAUCCAACCAUGGACAAUUUUUUUUUAACAUUUUGAACUGCAGUGUCUUCAUUUUUAGUAGAGGACAGUGUGCUUACUUCAAGUAUUAUUGAAGAAGAUAAAUGAUAAAACCUAUAAAUGGAUUAGCAGAUUGCAUGGUGUGUAACAUGCUCUACGUGAUAGGAGCCAAUGGUGUUACCAUGCUUUGCAUUAUCAUCACCUUAGUACCAAAAAGUAAGAUAGAGAUGAAGUUACCCAAAAGCAAAGGAAGAGGAUCCCUCUUUCUCCAAGGUGAUAGAGUACAUCUAGAAACUUUGAACAUCAAUCACAUCAAUAUUAGACUUAAAAAGACUUAAAUACAGGAGUAUCCAACAGAAGAGCCAAAAUUAAGAAGAAUGACAAUACCAAGUGUUGGUGAGGCUGUUGAGCACCUGGAACUUUCAUCUGUUGACAUGAGACUGUAAAAUUGUACAACCACUUUGGAAAAUGAGCUGACAACUUCUUAUAAAAUUAAAUUUGCAUCUAUGCUGUGACCAAACAAGGCCAGCUAUAGGUAUUUACUCAAAGGAAAUAACUGUGUAUAUAAAAUGUGUAUAUAAAAUAUGUUACAAAAAUGUCCAGAGCAAACUUAUCAACAGACAACACUGGAAAGAGCCUAGAUAUUCAUCAAUAGAUAGAUAGAUAGAUAAACUGUGGCAUAGAGUUACUUCUACAUAACAAUAAAAAGGGACAAACUACUAUAUGCUUGAUGAAUCCCAAAAAUGUUUUGCCCAGUUGAAGAAGCCCUAUUCAAAUGAGACUCAUAUCAUAUGACAUUUUAUAAUAGGGGCCAAGCAGGAUGACUGAAAGGGGGUGUGAGGAUCUUUCUCAGGUGGUGAUAACUUUAAGAGGUGGUGUUACACAGAUACAUGCAUUUCAAAUUCUCCACAAAUGUGCACUUAAGAUAUGUGCAUUUUAUUAUAUGUAUUUCAUAUCAAAUAAAACUACAAAUAUUGAACUCAAAUUAAACACAGGUUAAGUUGUUAAGAAGAUAUGAUAUCAGCAAUUUAUUUUGAAAUGCAUCUAAAAUAUGAUGAAUUAACAAUGAACAGAGGAUUAGAAAUGAAAUAGAGUAAAUACAAAUAGUAAGGGCUGGGGAUUUAGCUCAGUGGUUUUGCCACCUGCUGCUCAAGGGCAAGGACCUGAGUUCGAUUCCCAGUACCCCCCCCCAAAAAAAAUAUACACAAAUGGUAAAACUAGGUAGUAGGUAAAAAUUCUUUUCAUGUUCUAUAUUUGUUAAUUUUUAUAAAAUGUUGAGAAAAUGUAGUGGCAAAAUUUCUUUACUGCCUGAAGGAAUAAUUCUUUUUUCUGUUAGUUUUAUUAGUACAUGUUUAUAAUACAUAAUAAUACAUUUAAUUCUCUUUUUCUUUUUUUAUUCCCUACCUUUUCCUCCCUCCCUGCUCCUUCCAACUCUUGGUCCACUUCCCAUUUGCAAAAACUCUGUUUUCAUCAUUUUUCCUCUUCAAUCCUUUUUUCCCAUCCCCUUUCCUUCUCCUCCCUUCCUCCUUCCUCUCUCCAUCUCUUGUUCCCCUAUUCAUUUGAAAAAAGGGGUACAUUCAUACCCACGUUUGUAGCAGUACAGUUUGUAAUAGCUAAAUCUUGGAAUCAGCCUAUAUGCCCAUCAACAGAUAGAUGGAUAAAAAUGUGAUAUUUACACACCACGGAGUACUACUCUGACAUAAAGAAAGAUAAACUUGAGGCAUUUGUAGGUAAAUGGGUGCAACCUGAGACCAUAAUAUUAAGUGAAAUAAGUCAGAGACACAAGCUUAAAUAUCACAUGGCUUUUCUUAUAUGAGAAUCUCUCAAUAGGUAGAUAGAUAGAUAGACAAAGAGCAAGUAGGGAGAUGCUUUUCAAGUAGAGAAGUAAUUUUUAAUGUUCCUUUCCAAUAGUAGUCUUGCUCUAUUAAAAUAAAUUACUUAUAAAGUAUAUAAAAAAGAAUGUACAGUGGUUCUGAGUAAGUAGAGAUAAUAAAAGAUAUCUCAAUAAAAGACAGAACUAGUUAAAGAUGAGUUCCCUUUCCCUGCUUUUUCUCUCUCCUCACUUUUCUACUCACCUGGCAGUGCCCACUAACUUAUGCCUACUAUUAAAAAAAAGGCAGGUCCUGCCCAUUUGCAUCUGAGUUGGAAGCAAGACCAUCUCAUUUAAGAAGAGGGCAGGGAAUGUAAGACAGAUGGCUGAAAAUGGUACCUGGUACCGAUGUGCCUCUGCCAAGACCAAGAUUGUGUGAAAUGAGCAUGGCAAUAGAUCUGUGCCUUUCCUAUAAAGAUGGAAAGCCCUGUGUUGCUAACUUAAUAUAGUAAAUAUGGAGAAAACAAAAGUGCUUGUUUUCCACUGGGCUGGGAAUAAGAGCAGCACUGGAUAUGAAAAAUGGAAUUUUCGAGGAUUUAGCUCAGUGGUUCCGGCUCCUGCCUUGCAAGGGAAAGGUCCCAAGUUUGAUCCCCGGUACCAAAAAAAAAAAAAAAGGAAUUUUCCUUUUGUCGGCAGAAUAUGGUUAUCUACUUUUCCACAUUAGGAGUAGUUGGCAUCAUUUUUUAUAGGGUCUGGGCCCAUAUACACUAGCUGUGUGUUGACUUCGAUACUUUUUCUUGAAUAAAAUUCAUAGCAAAGUAAAAAGUGUACAUUAUCAUAAAAAAUAAAUAAGAUGUCAAGAAAAGCUUUAUCAAAGCAAUAUAAUUCCUUCUUUUAGAAAUGUCACAGGAUUUUACAUUUUAUAGAUGAGCAUGUGAUCUGUUUACUUUGGCACAAAGGAAAGGAAAUUUAAGCAAAAAUCAAAGGAAAUGACCUUAUCAAGGCUGUGACUCCAUAAUAACAAAUGGGCUGACAACAUUUGAUUUUAAUGAACACAUGAGUGAAAGUAAUUAUGCAUAAUUGUUAAUUUUGCCUUAUAUAAUUUUAG
Molecule: long non-coding RNA, 3861 nt
Filed under: Heterocephalus glaber (naked mole-rat)
Lineage: Eukaryota; Metazoa; Chordata; Mammalia; Rodentia; Bathyergidae
Description: lncRNA (ENSHGLG00000038587.1)
Source: RNAcentral